GCGUGAGUGAAGAAGGCCUUAGGGUUGUAAAGCUCUUUUGGCGGGGAAGAUAAUGACGGUACCCGCAGAAUAAGCUCCGGCUAACUUCGUGCCAGCAGCCGCGGUAAUACGAAGGGGGCUAGCGUUGUUCGGAAUCACUGGGCGUAAAGCGCACGCAGGCGGAUUGAUAAGUCAGGGGUGAAAUCCCGGGGCUCAACCUCGGAAUUGCCUUUGAUACUGUCUGUCUUGAGUCCGGGAGAGGUGAGUGGAAUUCCUAGUGUAGAGGUGAAAUUCGU
RNAcentral lists this ribosomal RNA (275 nucleotides) under uncultured bacterium. Its description in RNAcentral is "partial 16S ribosomal RNA". It matches the Rfam family "Bacterial small subunit ribosomal RNA", at positions 399 to 691 of the family's 1533-position model. The record is from RNAcentral.